Molecule: ribosomal RNA, 250 nt
Filed under: Enterobacter hormaechei
Lineage: Bacteria; Pseudomonadati; Pseudomonadota; Gammaproteobacteria; Enterobacterales; Enterobacteriaceae
Description: partial 23S ribosomal RNA
Rfam family: Bacterial large subunit ribosomal RNA
Source: RNAcentral
UGGUUCUCUCCGAAAUAGCUUUAGGGCUAGCCUCAAGUGAUGAUUAUUGGAGGUAGAGCACUGUUUGGACGAGGGGCCCCUCUCGGGUUACCGAAUUCAGACAAACUCCGAAUGCCAAUUAAUUUAACUUGGGAGUCAGAACAUGGGUGAUAAGGUCCGUGUUCGAAAGGGAAACAGCCCAGACCUCCAGCUAAGGUCCCAAAAUAUAUGUUAAGUGGAAAAGGAUGUGGCGUUGCCCAGACAACUAGGA